Molecule: small RNA, 716 nt
Filed under: Pan troglodytes (chimpanzee)
Lineage: Eukaryota; Metazoa; Chordata; Mammalia; Primates; Hominidae
Description: processed transcript
Source: RNAcentral
ACCACCAUCUUGGUAGUGUGCAAGACUCUGGGACCGCAUGAGAAAGGCAGAAAGGGAGCAAAGGAGCUGGUGGGGUGUCACAGGGCCUAUGUAUGAGGCAGAUGUGAGUUCUGCAUCCAGUUUUGCAAUUUAUCCAUUUACCUGCCUGAGACUUGGAAACACCUACUUGAUAGCCCUGAUUCAAGUGUUGGCGGAUGGAAGGGAGGAGACUCCUGACCCUCAGAAUGAGAUCAAUGGCUUUUCAAAAGCAGCACACCAAACUGUCAAAGUGGUGAUCCCUCUUCAUUUGACAUGCUCACAAAGAGGAGAAUAAGACAAGAAAGCAAGCUAACCCAGAAACAGUGAGGUGACAGUGCACCUCAAACACAGGAAAAUAAAAUGCAUAACUAUACUGAUUGGAUGCUGCUCAAAAUCAGCCUACAUGCCAUCUUUGAAGAUGAAUCCGCAGGCAAGAAUGAUGGAUGGGUGAAAGGGAGGGGGAAUACGAAAGCCCAGAGGCGGAGACUUCACUUCCGAUUGCCACGCUACAUCAAAAAAGCCAACAGUCUGGCCUUUCCGCAAGCCACAAGAAAAGGCAGAUCAGACUCCCCGGCUCCUCGGGUAGUUCUCAAAGGCAAAGACAAAAAUAAGAAACUAGUCUGAAGAAAGAGAGUCCCUCGCUUCUUCAGAACUCACCUGUCAAGAGCGGCGUGGACGGCGCCAUGUUGUCCCGGAAA